AGUCACACUGACUCGCACCUGCACACACGCCAGCACUGCUCGCUCUUUGACGUGUCUCAUAUGCUGCAGGUGAGCCAGGGGAGCACACUGGCCAUCUGAUCAGGCCUUCCUCCCUGUUUACAGUGGUCCACUCCUUGGCUUUGUUUGCUGUGAACUGGAUUCCAAGGACAGCCUUCUCAGAAGAGCUAGAGGUCAUGGGGGUGUCAUGGAUAGGUCAAUGGCCCCAAGGAAAUGAGCUCAGAGGGUCUCAUCAUCUCAUCCUUCUAGCUUGCCCCCAUUAAAUGGUGUGCCUUAAUGUCCCGGGUUUUCCAGGGCUGACACCCACUCUCAUGUAUUGGGCUGGAUGUUGGUUUGAAAAGGGGUUAUUUCAGGAAGGUGCUAGGUCCUGUCCAGUUCCCUGGCAGUCCCCCCACACAGAGUGACUGGGGGAGGUCAGGAAAUCAGAAGGUGGUCCUUUGCCACGUGUAGAACCAAAAGACUGGUUAGUCACUUUGGGUGGGCUGGACUGCACUGUGGAUGGCAGGGAGGAUGCAUCCUUGCUUAGUAGCCUUUUGGAUUGUAGCUGUUGCAAUGGCCUGAGGCUUUCAAUCUCUUCCCCAGACCAAGAUACUUGGUAGUGACCGGGUGAAGCUGAUGGAGAGUCUAGUGGUUGGAGACAUUGCAGAGCUAAGACCAAACCAGGGGACACUGUCGCUGUUUACCAACGAGGCUGGAGGCAUCUUAGAUGACUUGAUUGUAACCAAUACUUCUGAGGGCCACCUGUAUGUGGUGUCCAACGCUGGCUGCUGGGAGAAAGAUUUGGCCCUCAUGCAGGUAUACCCCCUCUGUGUUCUAGACACCUUGUCUUCCUUGUUCAUAGAGCAGUAUCCUUGUUGUCCAAGACAGGGUUGGCACAGACAAGGGACCUGGAAAAUGGCUCUUUCAGUGAAUGAACAGCUAUGAGACUCAAGAGCAGGCCCUCUCUGGAGCACGCCAGGGUUUGGUGGUGGGGGAUUACCAGGCAUGGGGAGGGGGUCUUGGCCCCUCUGGUGUGAGGUGGCAGAACUGGGCUUGGGUCAUCUCUAUCACUUAGUAGCUAUGUGACCUUGUAAGAUGGGAACCAGCCUACUACCUUUUUUUUUCCUCCCUCCUCCUCCUCCUCUCCACUGUCCUACUACUGUCCAGCUCUGCAGCGUCCAGCCCAUGGUAGCUGCUCAGUAAGUGGCCCCAGAUGCUCUUGUGUUUCUGUCUUUUAGGACAAGGUCAGGGAGCUUCAGAACCAGGGCAGAGAUGUGGGCCUGGAGGUGUUGGAUAAUGCCCUGCUAGCUCUGCAAGGCCCCACUGCAGCCCAGGUACUACAGGCCGGCGUGGCAGAUGACCUGAGGAAACUGCCCUUCAUGACCAGUGCUGUGAUGGAGGUGUUUGGCGUGUCUGGCUGCCGCGUGACCCGCUGUGGCUACACAGGAGAGGAUGGUGUGGAGGUACUGUGACUAGUGGCUGCCCCUCCCCCUCUCUGAAGAAGAAUGUGGCGAUGGGUUAUGUGCCCUGCGAGUACAGUCGUCCAGGGACAAUGCUGCUGGUAGAGGUGCGGCGGAAGCAGCAGAUGGCUGUAGUCAGCAAGAUGCCCUUUGUGCCCACAAACUACUAUACCCUCAAGUGAAGCUGGCUCAGGGUGGGGCUGUCCCUUCCAGGAGUUUUGCCCCUACAAGGGGUUAGUCAAGAAGCUGAGGCAGAACUCACUGGGGGUGGGCAGUUAAGGUGGAGGCUGAUUCUAAUUGUCUGGUUGAGGGGCCACACCACCUAUUCCCCCCACCUAACUCAUGCCAUUCCAGCUUCCUUCAGGACCCUGCUUCUGAGUGACGGACCAGCUCACACAAUGUCUUGUUUCAGUCCAUGAUCCCACUGACCUACUCUUGCCUGCUGGAGGGUAAUGAGAAGCUUUGGUUCUGCCAUCUCUCCCACUCUGCCAGGUGCUGGCUGUGGAGCAAAGGCUCACCUUUGUGGAGAGGAUAAAACCUGCCCAACCUACCUCACCAUGGUUUUUCACAUUGCAAAGGGUAAUAACAUGGGCAGUGCGGACUUAGGCUACCCCCUCCAGUUUGCUUUCCGUAAAUGCAAAUUGUCCUUACUGCAAGUCAGGAAUGAUUGCUGACUCACAGUAGGGCUGCUAUGCCUGUGUGUAAACUUGGGGAUGGCUGAGGGAACAUAGACUCACUCUUCCACAUUCCCAAGUUGGUCUAGUGUGCUGCCCAGUAGCAAACCAUGGCAGACUCACCACCUAUUCUGAGUUCCAGGGCUGCUGUAGGGCAGGGUGGGCUUCCUCCCAGACUUGCCUUACCCUGGGCUGAUCUUUGCCCCUGGUAUGC
Molecule: long non-coding RNA, 2345 nt
Filed under: Homo sapiens (human)
Lineage: Eukaryota; Metazoa; Chordata; Mammalia; Primates; Hominidae
Description: HSALNT0054334
Source: RNAcentral